RNAcentral lists this ribosomal RNA (484 nucleotides) under uncultured bacterium. Its description in RNAcentral is "partial 16S ribosomal RNA". It matches the Rfam family "Bacterial small subunit ribosomal RNA", at positions 30 to 507 of the family's 1533-position model. The record is from RNAcentral.
AUUGAACGCUGGCGGCAGGCCUAACACAUGCAAGUCGAGCGGAUGAAGGGAGCUUGCUCCUGGAUUCAGCGGCGGACGGGUGAGUAAUGCCUAGGAAUCUGCCUGGUAGUGGGGGAUAACGUCCGGAAACGGGCGCUAAUACCGCAUACUUCCUGAGGGAGAAAGUGGGGGAUCUUCGGACCUCACGCUAUCAGAUGAGCCUAGGUCGGAUUAGCUAGUUGGUGGGGUAAAGGCCUACCAAGGCGACGAUCCGUAACUGGUCUGAGAGGAUGAUCAGUCACACUGGAAGUGAGACACGGUCCAGACGCCUACGGGAGGCAGCAGUGGGCAAUAUUGGACAGAGGGCGAAAACCUGAUCCAGCGAUGGCGCGUGUGUGAAGAAGGUCUUCGGAUUGUAAAGCACUUUAAGUUGGGAGGAAGGGCAGUAAGUUAAUACCUUGCUGUUUUGACGUUAACAACAGAAGAAGCACCGGCUAACUUCGUG